UACGAAGGGGGCUAGCGUUGUUCGGAAUUACUGGGCGUAAAGGGCGCGUAGGCGGCCUGUUUAGUCAGAAGUGAAAGCCCCGGGCUCAACCUGGGAAUAGCUUUUGAUACUGGCAGGCUUGAGUUCCGGAGAGGAUGGUGGAAUUCCCAGUGUAGAGGUGAAAUUCGUAGAUAUUGGGAAGAACACCGGUGGCGAAGGCGGCCAUCUGGACGGACACUGACGCUGAGGCGCGAAAGCGUGGGGAGCAAACAGGAUUAGAAACCCCGGUAGU
This 271-nucleotide ribosomal RNA is filed under the name uncultured bacterium. RNAcentral describes it as "partial 16S ribosomal RNA". It matches the Rfam family "Bacterial small subunit ribosomal RNA", at positions 524 to 794 of the family's 1533-position model. The record is from RNAcentral.